UUAAUGAAAGACUUUGUUUUCUUCUCAGGAUCUCCUGCAACUGUUCCUGGCUCCGCUUCGCCAGCAACAACUUCUUCUCUGUGUUUCCUUCUUCUUGAAACUAGAAACAUAUAUAUUUAAUAUUUAAUCGGAAUAAGAAAACUAUCUCCAUCAAUUCCUCUUCCAUCUUGUCUACCUUGCUCUGGUGCUCAUUAAGGGAUUUCACCUUGUUCUGUAGCUCAGUCUCCAACACAGCCAAUUCUUUCUUCUGGAAGAAUCACUUACAUGAUGAUUAACAAGCUCUCUCACCGCGUCAACGCAUUUAUCAUCGUUCAAGCUCGACCAGGAUUCUGGCAAGCUGCCAUCGCUACCAGCACCGUCGUCCGUCUGAAAUGACUCUUACCUUCUCCCACCAUUGAUGAAAUCUUUGAACGCGUUCGUGAUUGCUCAUGAACUCUUGAAACUGACGAUGCUUGGACUGCAAUGUCGUGCGCAGAGAGGCAACUUCCCUACAUAAAUUUUCUACCUAGUACCACACACACACAGAUAUCGAUGCAUUAACAAAAAAGAUAACUGAAAAAAAUAUAGUUUAGAUGCGAG
This is a long non-coding RNA of Bombus pyrosoma, 579 nucleotides long. RefSeq lists it as uncharacterized. The transcript is spliced from 4 exons. NCBI's taxonomy places the organism in Eukaryota, Metazoa, Arthropoda, Insecta, Hymenoptera, Apidae. The record is from RefSeq and is a predicted model, not a curated record.